CCUGUGCGACCACUGAAAUUAAGCAAUGUCGAGCCUGGUCAGUACUUAGAUGGGUAACCGCUUGGGAAUACCAGGUACUGUAA
This is a non-coding RNA of Acanthosepion pharaonis, 83 nucleotides long. The record is from the annotation of a GenBank genome assembly. NCBI's taxonomy places the organism in Eukaryota, Metazoa, Mollusca, Cephalopoda, Sepiida, Sepiidae.